GACGAACGCUGGCGGCGUGCUUAACACAUGCAAGUCGAACGGAAAGGCCCUGCUUUUGUGGGGUGCUCGAGUGGCGAACGGGUGAGUAACACGCGAGUAACCUGCCCUUGACUUUGGGAUAACUUCAGGAAACUGGGGCUAAUACCGGAUAGGAGCUCCUGCUGCAUGGUGGGGGUUGGAAAGUUUCGGCGGUUGGGGAUGGACUCGCGGCUUAUCAGCUUGUUGAUGGGGUAGUGGCUUACCAAGGCUUUGACGGGUAGCCGGCCUGAGAGGGUGACCGGCCACAUUGGGACUGAGAUACGGCCCAGACUCCUACGGGAGGCAGCAGUGGGGAAUAUUGCACAAUGGGCGGAAGCCUGAUGCAGCAACGCCGCGUGCGGGAUGACGGCCUUCGGGUUGUAAACCGCUUUCGCCUGUGACGAAGCGUGAGUGACGGUAAUGGGUAAAGAAGCACCGGCUAACUACGUG
Molecule: ribosomal RNA, 468 nt
Filed under: uncultured bacterium
Lineage: Bacteria
Description: partial 16S ribosomal RNA
Rfam family: Bacterial small subunit ribosomal RNA
Source: RNAcentral